ACAACUCGGCUGCCCUGGUGCAACCGGGGAGCCGUCCGGCAGGUUUUUCCUCCUGACCUGCCACGGCACGGGGCUGUCCUCUGCCCGCCUCGCCUGGGCCUGGCCCUCCCAGGCUCGCGGGCUCCUCUCUGCCAGAAGCAGCCGGCAGACGGCAGGUGCUGCGCCAGGAUGCCCAGCAUCUUCGCCUACCAGAGCUCCGAGGUGGACUGGUGCGAGACCAACUUCCAGCACUCGGAGCUCGUGGCCGAGUUCUACAACACGUUCAGCAAUGUCACCUUCUUCAUAUUUGGGCCUCUCAUGAUGUUUCUGAUGCACCCCUAUGCCCAGAAACGCUCCCGCUACUCUUAUGUCACCUUUAUCCUCUUCAUGGUUGUAGGCCUGUUCUCCACGUACUUCCACAUGACCCUCAGCUUCCUGGGCCAGCUGCUGGAUGAGAUCUCUAUUCUGUGGCUACUGGCCAGUGGUUACAGUAUAUGGAUGCCCCGCUGCUACUUUCCCACCUUCCUGGGGGAGAACAGGUCCCGGUUCAUCUGCUUCAUCGUUGUCACCGCCGUGGUCAGCACCCUCCUGUCUUUCCUGAGGCCCAUGGUCAACGCAUAUGCCCUCAACAGCAUCGCCGGGCACAUCCUCUACAUCGUUUUCCACGAGUACAAGAAGUGGGUGGUGGCUGCAGGCACCCAGGGAGGUGGCUCCCUCCCCCCUCCAGCACCCCCACAAUACUCACCGCAUUUCAGGCACAGAGUUCUCACUGACCCCGGGCUCAAGGAGGGGGUGCCCAUUUCCCAAGGUCAUCCACUAGCAAGGGGAAAGGGCAGGGUUAGAAUGGAAGGCUGUCUGGCUGCAGACCUUGUCCUUUUUAUCAUGCAAACCUCCCAACACACAUGCACAUAGCAAGCGUCGCACCAUACACCUCCAUGUGCUGCCAGCCAGUCCCAGCCACCAUCAGCAUUUUGCCCACCUGCAUUGUAUGUUCCCCCCUCCAGAUUUCAUAUCAUGGCACCCAUUAAUUUUUCAGGAUUUAACUCACCUGAUAAAGAAUUAUUUUUUUUAGCCCAUGCUAGGUCUUAGCAAGAUAGAGAAGGAGCUCUCAAGUGGGGGCCGUUUGAGGUGAGCUGAAUAAAAGGGUUCUUUCCAAAGGAGAGGGCAAGGUAUAAGGGAAUCACUAGGGAUCCUUUAGAAUCCGUGUUAAGGAGAGUGAGAUUCCGUGACCAUCAGGAGACGUUGAGGUUGGGGGUCUAGGGGAGAGAGCGAUCGCAAGAGUCUGGAAAGAGACAGCCCUGAGGAGAGGGUCUCCUCGGCAAGGGCUGGGGCCUCAAGAGCAGUUACUAGUUGUGGCCAGCCUGGGCCGACUCCGCAGGGAGGAAGCCAGGGAAGUAAAUAUCCAAGCAGUGCCCUCCUCUCAGCCUUUGAUUUCCUGCUGGGUCUCCGGAGGGCCAACCACAGCUGGAAGCCCAAAGACAAGGGAACCCCUGGAUUUGGUCUACGCAGCUCAGCACCCCUGGAGCAUAAGGCAGAGUGGAGAAGGAAAGGCUCUAGAGGGACAAAUGGAAAAUAUGGUGCGCGCAAUCCUAACGAUGUUAACAAUACUUGCUUCAAAUAGUAUCUGAUACCCAGUGUGCGCCAUUCGCCUCCAUUUCCCCAAGGGGCCUUCCUACACCUGGUCUUCUUUGAAUAGGAUCCAAACACAGUCUCUUCGAUCUUCUUAACUUCGCAGCCGGUUUCCCUUCUCUCCCUCUUUCUCUGGGCCUCUUACUUGAUAACAGAAACUUGAUCAAUUGUCCUGUAGAAUAUUGGCUGACUGCUUCCUGUGGUGUCUUUCAACAUUUUUCCUUAUUAUUAUUAUUCCUGCUUUUGUAUUUCGUGGGGAUUAAUAGUUUGAUCUAGAUUUAGGUUUAAAUUUUUUUUAGCCUGGAGUGUUUCAUGUGUGGCCCUUGGGUGCUUCUUGUUCCAUCCGCUUAGGAGACCGUAACGAGCGGCUCUCCCACGUUUAGCCCCGUUAAGGUUGAUCAGUAGAUUCAGCUAGUGUCAGCCUGUCCCUUCAUUAUAAAGUUUCCCACUGACCUUUCACCUGAUGACUUCAGCAGCGAUGCAUGCUGCCUCCACCUAUGAUCUCAUUAGCGGUUUUGCAAAAGCAUCUUUUGUGGAAUCUGUGAUUUCUUCUGCAUUGAUCAUCUGGAGCUCUGCCAUCAGGAGGGACUUGCGCUCAGCAAAACCUUGAAACAUGGUUUGGAAAGACAGGGUAGAUCGUUGAUUCUUUCCCUGUACUUACCGGUUUCCAGAGUCAUGGGUUAGUGCCUUCGCUGUCUCUAGCUGGGACCAAUGAAGUGGGUUUUUUUUAAAAGUGGCAUUAUGAACACAUGGAUGUUUAUAUCUCAGAAGGGUUUCUGUUCAUAGCAGUCACUGUGCUAUAUCGUUAACUUUUUAUAGCGAGUUGCAAAAAUAGCAGAAUCCUGUGUACGCUUCCCCCAGCCUCCCCCAGGGGCCCCCGGUGGCAGCAUCUUCUGUAACCCUAACACCAUCACAAAAGGGGAACACUGACGAUGGAGCAGUAUGGCUACCGAGACUGCAGACUUUAUUCAGAUCUCGCCACUUCUUACUCAUUUUUCUUUUCUGAUGGUCAAACUGUCCCAUUUUAGGCCAGCGGUUUAGGUUACGCUUUUAACCCAUAAAGGAGAUACUGCCUCAUUAAUCCCCCAUAUGCCCUUCCCUAAGGGACACUGGGUCAGCACUUCUGUUGGGGUAAUGCAAAUGCUGAUUUUCACUUGUCCCAGGAUGUGGCCUCUGGAGAAUGCACCCUCCCACACACGGACAUGCACACUCUCACAGCCACGCAGACAUGCAUUCCCAUGUGCUGACUCACAGGCGCUCACACAGUCACAGCCCCAAGCAAACACAGAAAGGCUUGCUGGUGACGCAGUCUGCCAUCUGACAGCCCUGGGUCAGACCCCAGCUCUGCCACUUUCUAGCUGUGGAACUUCAGGUGGGGGUGGGACACUUGGCCCGUGGGGCGGCCCUAUGUGGACAUCAGCGCUGGUGACAAGGCCUGCUGAGGUCUGCUGGCUUCUCAACUACGGAGCCACCUGGCCACUCCCCUGAGGGGCCUGGAUCAGGAGUCUGACCUUAAUCUCACAUGCCUCCGUUUUCCCAUCUACAAAAUGGGAAUAUGGCGUCAUUGUGGGGACUGAGAGUCGAGUCUAUCAGGACUUCCAGAACUGCGCCAGGCAUCCUGUGAGCGCUCAGCAAAUGUUAGCAGGAAGCCCAGAUCACGCCCCGCCCCCUUGCCACCCUUGAUCCUUCCCUCUUCCCAGUCUCAUCUCCUUGGAUGGAGGAAUUUCCCAUCAGCCCCUUCAGGCUCUGAUUCCCCUUCUUCCCUCCUGAGGACAAACAAUAAGGAGCUUCGGCAUUUAAUGGAGGUCUCCGUGGUUCUGUGGGCUUUUGCGUUGACCAGCUGGAUCAGCGACCGCUUGCUCUGCAGUUUCUGGCAGCAGAUUAAUUUCUUCUACAUGCACAGCAUCUGGCAUGUGCUCAUCAGCAUCACCUUCCCCUAUGGCAUAGCCACCAUAGCCAUGGUGGACGCCAGGUACGAGAUGCCAGACCAAAUCCUCAAAAUCCGCUACUGGCCUCGG
Manis javanica (Malayan pangolin) is the source of this 3626-nucleotide non-coding RNA. The record is from RefSeq and is a predicted model, not a curated record. Lineage: Eukaryota; Metazoa; Chordata; Mammalia; Pholidota; Manidae.